RNAcentral lists this ribosomal RNA (485 nucleotides) under Streptomyces sp. Its description in RNAcentral is "bacterial SSU rRNA". It matches the Rfam family "Bacterial small subunit ribosomal RNA", at positions 116 to 615 of the family's 1533-position model. The record is from RNAcentral. Lineage: Bacteria; Bacillati; Actinomycetota; Actinomycetes; Kitasatosporales; Streptomycetaceae.
CGUGGGCAAUCUGCCCUUCACUCUGGGACAAGCCCUGGAAACGGGGUCUAAUACCGGAUAACACUCUGUCCCGCAUGGGACGGGGUUAAAAGCUCCGGCGGUGAAGGAUGAGCCCGCGGCCUAUCAGCUUGUUGGUGGGGUAAUGGCCUACCAAGGCGACGACGGGUAGCCGGCCUGAGAGGGCGACCGGCCACACUGGGACUGAGACACGGCCCAGACUCCUACGGGAGGCAGCAGUGGGGAAUAUUGCACAAUGGGCGAAAGCCUGAUGCAGCGACGCCGCGUGAGGGAUGACGGCCUUCGGGUUGUAAACCUCUUUCAGCAGGGAAGAAGCGAAAGUGACGGUACCUGCAGAAGAAGCGCCGGCUAACUACGUGCCAGCAGCCGCGGUAAUACGUAGGGCGCAAGCGUUGUCCGGAAUUAUUGGGCGUAAAGAGCUCGUAGGCGGCUUGUCACGUCGGAUGUGAAAGCCCGGGGCUUAACCC